Molecule: long non-coding RNA, 790 nt
Organism: Scophthalmus maximus (turbot)
Lineage: Eukaryota; Metazoa; Chordata; Actinopteri; Pleuronectiformes; Scophthalmidae
Exons: 4
Source: RefSeq, a predicted model, not a curated record
GAAGGUGGCAGCAGCACCUCUGCGACAUCAGCUGCACUAAUAGGACAACGAAGAAGUCGCCUCUCGUCCCGCAGUGUUGUUAAGUGACCUCUGCUGCUAGCAGUCAACCUCUCAAAAAAAUGGUUCCUCCGGUUGCAGUGUCGCCUCUGAUCAAGACAGCCAGGUAUUCAGCUCUGAUUGCUGGGAUCAUCUACGGCAAAAGCAGAUAUGAUACCCUGAAGCCCAUCGCAGCUGAGGAGAGGAGGAUCGAGGAGGAGGAGAAGAAGGUCCGCGAGGAGCAGGAGCGCAUUGCCAAACAGAUAAGAGAAGCAAAUGAAGACACUAUCCUGAAGUAGAGCGUCGGAGCGCUGUGUGAAGAUGUCCACGUACAUGUGCAAUUUCCAAUCUCUCCUUCCUUUUUUCUGGAGUAACGAUGGCAAAGUCGGGUCACAACCAGUCAAACACGCCGGUGUGGACGAUGUUUUCUCUGUUCCCUUGAAUGACACAACACUUCUCCGGGUUGCCAGAUACAGCAAUUAAAAAUUGAACUACAUGUUAUGAAACAAAGCUCUUGAACUCUGCAUUGUAAACCUGCAAAUGCAGCAACAUAAGUUAUGAAGUUAAAUUUUGUAAUGAAGCAAAAGCAUAUAAACAGAUGUACAUGAUCCCUGUUGCGUUUGCCCUUUGCUUCUUCAAUAUGUGACCUUAAUUGGUGUUCUCCCAGAAACUGUUACAGCACAGAUGAGACCUAUGUAAUAUUGUAGUGAUAACCUGUUUUGCCAUUAAAACCCUCACGAGUCAACAUAUACAA